GUAGGGAAUCUUCGGCAAUGGGGGCAACCCUGACCGAGCAACGCCGCGUGAGUGAAGAAGGUUUUUCGGAUCGUAAAGCUCUGUUGUAAGAGAAGAACGUGUGUGAGAGUGGAAAGUUCACACAGUGACGGUAACUUACCAGAAAGGGACGGCUAACUACGUGCCAC
RNAcentral lists this ribosomal RNA (167 nucleotides) under uncultured bacterium. RNAcentral's name for it is "partial 16S rRNA". It matches the Rfam family "Bacterial small subunit ribosomal RNA", at positions 354 to 511 of the family's 1533-position model. The record is from RNAcentral.